Echinops telfairi (small Madagascar hedgehog) is the source of this 459-nucleotide long non-coding RNA. RefSeq lists it as uncharacterized. The record is from RefSeq and is a predicted model, not a curated record. Lineage: Eukaryota; Metazoa; Chordata; Mammalia; Afrosoricida; Tenrecidae. The transcript is spliced from 2 exons.
GGCGGAAGUGGAGGCCACAAGACUUCCUCUUCCGGGGCUGGCGGCGAAAACUCUUCCAAAGGACCCAGGUCAGCUGAAACUAGCUGGGAUACUAACAAGACCAGAGUGAUCAAGACAAUUAUUGAAGAGGUGUCACCCGAUGGUAGAGUCCUUUCGUCUAUGGUUGAAUCAGAAACUAAGAAACAGUUCUAUUAAGUCACAUCGAGACGAAACUCUCCCGUCCUACAGACCAUUCUACAUCAGUGCCUGGAAACAACAGCUCUGAGAAAAGUGCUUCAAUCUUCCUGGUCUGUGGAAACGGUUCGCUCCUUGAAAACAAGGGUCUCAAAGGUGGUUCGUGGUUUCUGUAUUUCUUCUUUUCACUUUACCAGAAAGUGUCCUUUAAUGGAAAGAAAAAGAAAAACUUUCUAUUCUCAUUUAUUGAUAAAUUUCAAUAAACUUUCUUACUGAUGCAAACUA